CAGCAGUGGGGAAUAUUGCACAAUGGGCGAAAGCCUGAUGCAGCAACGCCGCGUGAGUGAUGAAGGCCUUCGGGUCGUAAAGCUCUGUCUUCGGGGACGAUAAUGACGGUACCCGAGGAGGAAGCCACGGCUAACUACGUGCCAGCAGCCGCGGUAAUACGUAGGUGGCAAGCGUUGUCCGGAUUUACUGGGCGUAAAGGGAGCGUAGGCGGAUACUUAAGUGGGAUGUGAAAUACCCGGGCUCAACCCGGGUGCUGCAUUCCAAACUGGGUAUCUAGAGUGUGGGAGAGGAAAGUGGAAUUCCUAGUGUAGCGGUGAAAUGCGUAGAGAUUAGGAAGAACACCAGUGGCGAAGGCGACUUUCUGGACCAUAACUGACGCUGAGGCUCGAAAGCGUGGGG
This 400-nucleotide ribosomal RNA is filed under the name uncultured Clostridium sp. RNAcentral's name for it is "bacterial SSU rRNA". It matches the Rfam family "Bacterial small subunit ribosomal RNA", at positions 349 to 766 of the family's 1533-position model. The record is from RNAcentral. Lineage: Bacteria; Bacillati; Bacillota; Clostridia; Eubacteriales; Clostridiaceae.